RNAcentral lists this transfer RNA (73 nucleotides) under Capra hircus (goat). It matches the Rfam family "tRNA". From Rfam's summary of the family: Transfer RNA (tRNA) molecules are approximately 80 nucleotides in length. Lineage: Eukaryota; Metazoa; Chordata; Mammalia; Artiodactyla; Bovidae. The record is from Rfam by way of RNAcentral. RNAcentral also lists the same sequence under 1 other name.
UCCCUGGUCAUCUAGUUGCAAAGACUCUGAGCUCCCAAUGCAGAGGUCCCAGGUUCAAUCCCUGGUCAGGGAA